AUGAGCAAACUUCCAAGUCCAUGCCAUGCCAAAGUUCUCCAUCUUCAUAUAUUCUUCAAUCUUCAUGCCCCUUCAACCGAACAACCAAUAUUUCCAAUUUGCUUUGAGCGAUUAGAUCAAGACACAAAUGGAGUUCUUACAACCAUAUGCAAUCAUUCUUUCCAUUGUUCCUGUAUUUCAAAAUGGGCAGAUUCUUCUUGUCUGGUAUGCCGCUAG
This is a non-coding RNA of Vicia faba (fava bean), 216 nucleotides long. The record is from the annotation of a GenBank genome assembly. NCBI's taxonomy places the organism in Eukaryota, Viridiplantae, Streptophyta, Magnoliopsida, Fabales, Fabaceae.